This 495-nucleotide ribosomal RNA is filed under the name uncultured bacterium. RNAcentral's name for it is "partial 16S ribosomal RNA". It matches the Rfam family "Bacterial small subunit ribosomal RNA", at positions 28 to 507 of the family's 1533-position model. The record is from RNAcentral.
GACGAACGCUGGCGGCGUGCCUAAUACAUGCAAGUAGAACGCUGAAGGAGGAGCUUGCUUCUCUGGAUGAGUUGCGAACGGGUGAGUAACGCGUAGGUAACCUGCCUGGUAGCGGGGGAUAACUAUUGGAAACGAUAGCUAAUACCGCAUAAGAGUAGAUGUUGCAUGACAUUUGCUUAAAAGGUGCAAUUGCAUCACUACCAGAUGGACCUGCGUUGUAUUAGCUAGUUGGUGGGGUAACGGCUCACCAAGGCGACGAUACAUAGCCGACCUGAGAGGGUGAUCGGCCACACUGGGACUGAGACACGGCCCAGACUCCUACGGGAGGCAGCAGUAGGGAAUCUUCGGCAAUGGACGGAAGUCUGACCGAGCAACGCCGCGUGAGUGAAGAAGGUUUUCGGAUCGUAAAGCUCUGUUGUAAGAGAAGAACGAGUGCGAGAGUGGAAAGUUCACACUGUGACGGUAUCUUACCAGAUAGGGACGGCUAACUACGUG